CGGCGCGCAGGCAGCUUCUGCCACGGGUGGCGCUUGCCCCGGGCUGCGAGAAAAGUUGCUAAGCUGAGCUAGGAAGAGGGCGUGCCGGGUGACCUGCCUGAAAGGCUAGGGCCAAGGAACAAGCGGUGAUUAAGAAGAGACCAGCAUCACUGAGAUGAGAUCUUCUGGGAAGUGUUUUCUUGAGGCAGACACACAGAAGCUGUGCACUAGAGGACACUAAGCCUGUGCCUGCUGCUAGCAGCUGGAUCUGGUAAGUUUCCUUCUAUGUGCCCUGGAUGAGACUCUUGGCCAUGUUGUUUUCAAAGAGCAACCACAGCAUAUCUAUUACCAACCAGGACCACCACAGGUGAACGCCAUGCUGACAAAAAGUGUGGGAGCUCAUCGGACCCGCUUCCUUUCUUUGCCCCCCCCCCACAACUAUUAUACAAGCUUUCUGUCUUGGAAGAGAGGGCUGCUUGGAGUCAUCUGAGGACCGAAGAGACUCUUUGAUGGUAGAAAUUCUACAGCAGGUUCUUUAGUUAUCAUCAGAGAAGCUUCCUAUUGCAGGAGGUGGGAACUAAGAAAGACACCCACAAUGGACAAUGAACAGAGACCAAGAGAUUUUGGAAGACUCUGUCCUUAAUGGGAAGUCCCCAUCAAACUUCUCCUCUCAGGACUCAGGAAGCAACAGGAAGAGGAGGUGGAAAGUCUCUUAAGGACCAGAGGGGUUCUGCAACAAAACAACGUCUUCAUGACCUAAUAGAAUUGAUGCACUUAUGCAUCCAAAGAGAUUGUAGCAGCAUGCAGAUUCAAGCCAGAUGAGGGCCCCAAAAUGGAGAGAGGGGAGUGGACACAGACUACCACCCCUAAUCAAGAAGCUAUCUACAAUUGACACCCAUUGCCAAAGGCAAAAUUUGUUUUCUCCAGUAGAGUUUGACUGGGUAUAUUAACCACACUUAAGGGUAGGCCCCCACACCCAGCAGUAGAUAGCUAACACAAUCCAA
This is a long non-coding RNA of Grammomys surdaster, 983 nucleotides long. RefSeq lists it as uncharacterized. The record is from RefSeq and is a predicted model, not a curated record. The transcript has 3 exons. NCBI's taxonomy places the organism in Eukaryota, Metazoa, Chordata, Mammalia, Rodentia, Muridae.